Molecule: ribosomal RNA, 262 nt
Filed under: uncultured bacterium
Lineage: Bacteria
Description: partial 16S ribosomal RNA
Rfam family: Bacterial small subunit ribosomal RNA
Source: RNAcentral
AGCAGCCGCGGUAAUACGUAGGGGGCGAGCGUUGUCCGGAUUUAUUGGGCGUAAAGGGCGUGUAGGCGGCCGUUUAAGUCUCGCUGUGAAAUCGGGGGGCUCAACCCUCACGACUGCAGGGGAUACUGGGCGGCUGGAGAUAGGUAGAGGCGAGCGGAAUUCCGGGUGUAGCGGUGGAAUGCGUAGAGAUCCGGAAGAACACCAGAGGCGAAGGCGGCUCGCUGGACCUCAUCUGACGCUGAGGUGCGAAAGCGUGGGGAGC